GACGAACGCUGGCGGCGUGCUUAACACAUGCAAGUCGAACGGAAAGGCCCUUCGGGGUACUCGAGUGGCGAACGGGUGAGUAACACGUGGGUGAUCUGCCCUGCACUUUGGGAUAAGCCUGGGAAACUGGGCCUAAUACCGAAUAGGACCACGCGCUUCAUGGUGUGUGGUGGAAAGCUUUUGCGGUGUGGGAUGGGCCCGCGGCCUAUCAGCUUGUUGGUGGGGUAAUGGCCUACCAAGGCGACGACGGGUAGCCGGCCUGAGAGGGUGACCGGCCACACUGGGACUGAGAUACGGCCCAGACUCCUACGGGAGGCAGCAGUGGGGAAUAUUGCACAAUGGGCGCAAGCCUGAUGCAGCGACGCCGCGUGAGGGAUGACGGCCUUCGGGUUGUAAACCUCUUUCACCAGGGACGAAGCGUAAGUGACGGUACCUGGAGAAGAAGCACCGGCCAACUACGUG
This 462-nucleotide ribosomal RNA is filed under the name uncultured bacterium. RNAcentral describes it as "partial 16S ribosomal RNA". It matches the Rfam family "Bacterial small subunit ribosomal RNA", at positions 28 to 507 of the family's 1533-position model. The record is from RNAcentral.